UACGGAGGGUGCAAGCGUUAUCCGGAUUCACUGGGUUUAAAGGGUGCGUAGGUGGGUAGGUAAGUCAGUGGUGAAAUCUCUAAGCUUAACUUAGAAACUGCCGUUGAUACUAUUUAUCUUGAAUAUAGUGGAGGUGAGCGGAAUAUGUCAUGUAGCGGUGAAAUGCUUAGAUAUGACAUAGAACACCGAUUGCGAAGGCAGCUCGCUACACUAUUAUUGACACUGAGGCACGAAAGCGUGGGGAUCAAACAGG
This 253-nucleotide ribosomal RNA is filed under the name uncultured bacterium. RNAcentral describes it as "partial 16S ribosomal RNA". It matches the Rfam family "Bacterial small subunit ribosomal RNA", at positions 524 to 776 of the family's 1533-position model. The record is from RNAcentral.